CAAGAGGCUUUAACUACAGCCUUACAAAUGCGUGAUGUGUCAAUUGUGAAUUGGAUUUGCUCCCAGGUCUUGACUAUGGAUCCUCUCCCUUUGAGUCAAGAAGUAUUGGUUCAAUUGUUGUGGUUUUUACCAUAUUGUAUCAAUACCAACCCAGCCGUAAUAAUUGCUUGGAUGACACACGUUUUUAAUUCCAUAAUCCCAACUGAUCCGGCAAUUGAAAUGCAUGUGCGGCCCAUCUUCAAUCAAGUUUAUGCCGCACUCAACCAUAUAAGUGUCCUGCCCACAAUUACUGAUGAUGUGCGGUCAACUAUACGUCUUCUGAUGAAUGGUUUACUUCCACCUUGAGACAAAAAUGAUAGUUAAUGAGCUAAAAUGAAUAUUUUGUGUGGGAGUUGUAAUGGAUGGAGCUAGCUUUCAGAUGGACUCCUGGAUGUAAUGGAGUUGUAAUGAAGAUUGACUCCAUUAUUUUAUUUUAUUUUACUUUUUUUGUUGUUCUUAUAAGAUGUUCAUAUAUGUUGUGUACUAGCUAAAG
Molecule: long non-coding RNA, 532 nt
Organism: Alnus glutinosa
Lineage: Eukaryota; Viridiplantae; Streptophyta; Magnoliopsida; Fagales; Betulaceae
Exons: 3
Source: RefSeq, a predicted model, not a curated record